UUAAGUCAAAUUUGUACGGAGUUGGAACGUUUGACUGUUUGUCGCUAGGGGCACUGUUCCAGCUGCAUACAAAUUUCAGGUA
RNAcentral lists this microRNA precursor (82 nucleotides) under Bombyx mori (domestic silkworm). RNAcentral describes it as "mir-2807 microRNA precursor family". It matches the Rfam family "mir-2807 microRNA precursor family". Lineage: Eukaryota; Metazoa; Arthropoda; Insecta; Lepidoptera; Bombycidae. The record is from Rfam by way of RNAcentral.